UAAUUACUCUUUAAAGCAAAAUAAAUGCAAUAGUUUUAGAAACUAAAUUUCCUAUAA
Molecule: transfer RNA, 57 nt
Filed under: Loxosceles aff. spinulosa GJB-2008
Lineage: Eukaryota; Metazoa; Arthropoda; Arachnida; Araneae; Sicariidae
Description: tRNA-Leu
Source: RNAcentral